This 468-nucleotide ribosomal RNA is filed under the name uncultured bacterium. Its description in RNAcentral is "partial 16S ribosomal RNA". It matches the Rfam family "Bacterial small subunit ribosomal RNA", at positions 28 to 507 of the family's 1533-position model. The record is from RNAcentral.
GACGAACGCUGGCGGCGUGCUUAGCACAUGCAAGUCGAACGGAAAGGCCCUGCUUUUGUGGGGUGCUCGAGUGGCGAACGGGUGAGUAACACGUGAGUAACCUGCCCUUGACUUUGGGAUAACUUCAGGAAACUGGGGCUAAUACCGGAUAGGAGCUCCUGCUGCAUGGUGGGGGUUGGAAAGUUUCGGCGGUUGGGGAUGGACUCGCGGCUUAUCAGCUUGUUGGUGGGGUAGUGGCUUACCAAGGCGUUGACGGGUAGCCGGCCUGAGGGGGUGACCGGCGACAUUGGGACUGAGAUACGGCCCAGACUCCUACGGGAGGCAGCAGUGGGGAAUAUUGCACAAUGGGCGGAAGCCUGAUGCAGCAACGCCGCGUGCGGGAUGACGGCCUUCGGGUUGUAAACCGCUUUCGCCUGUGACGAAGCGUGAGUGACGGUAAUGGGUAAAGAAGCACCGGCUAACUACGUG